GCUGCGGCACAUCCGCAGUCGGGAAUUGCACCCCGGAUAUUCUGGAGAAUUAAACAUCCUCAUUAUCU
Molecule: small RNA, 68 nt
Filed under: Rahnella aquatilis CIP 78.65 = ATCC 33071
Lineage: Bacteria; Pseudomonadati; Pseudomonadota; Gammaproteobacteria; Enterobacterales; Yersiniaceae
Description: isrK Hfq binding RNA
Source: RNAcentral